CCUACGGGAGGCAGCAGUGAGGAAUAUUGGUCAAUGGACGCAAGUCUGAACCAGCCAUGCCGCGUGCAGGAAGACGGCUCUAUGAGUUGUAAACUGCUUUUGUACGAGGGUAAACGCAGAUACGCGUAUCUGUCUGAAAGUCUCGUACGAAUAAGGAUCGGCUAACUCCGUGCCAGCAGCCGCGGUAAUACGGAGGAUUCAAGCGUUAUCCGGAUUUAUUGGGUGUAAAGGGUGCGUAGGCGGUCGGAUAAGUUAGAGGUGAAAUCCCGAGGCUCAACUUCGGAAUUGCCUCUGAUACUGUUCGGCUAGAGAGUAGUUGCGGUAGGCGGAAUGUAUGGUGUAGCGGUGAAAUGCUUAGAGAUCAUACAGAACACCGAUGGCGAAGGCAGCUUACCAAGCUACUUCUGACGUUGAGGCACGAAAGCGUGGGUAGCAAACAGGAUUAGAUACCCGGGUAGUC
This 460-nucleotide ribosomal RNA is filed under the name uncultured bacterium. RNAcentral describes it as "partial 16S ribosomal RNA". It matches the Rfam family "Bacterial small subunit ribosomal RNA", at positions 338 to 795 of the family's 1533-position model. The record is from RNAcentral.